Molecule: unclassified non-coding RNA, 253 nt
Filed under: uncultured Cellvibrionales bacterium
Lineage: Bacteria; Pseudomonadati; Pseudomonadota; Gammaproteobacteria; Cellvibrionales
Description: contains 16S-23S intergenic spacer region
Rfam family: Bacterial small subunit ribosomal RNA
Source: RNAcentral
UACGGAGGGUGCAAGCGUUAAUCGGAAUUACUGGGCGUAAAGCGCGCGUAGGCGGUGAGCUAAGCAAGAUGUGAAAGCCCUGGGCUUAACCUGGGAACUGCAUUUUGAACUGGCUGACUGGAGUACAGCAGAGGACAGUGGAAUUUCAGGUGUAGCGGUGAAAUGCGUAGAUAUCUGAAGGAACACCAGUGGCGAAGGCGACUGUCUGGGCUGAUACUGACGCUGAGGUGCGAAAGCGUGGGGAGCAAACAGG